Molecule: ribosomal RNA, 292 nt
Filed under: uncultured bacterium
Lineage: Bacteria
Also listed under: 1 other name
Description: partial 16S ribosomal RNA
Rfam family: Bacterial small subunit ribosomal RNA
Source: RNAcentral
GUGCCAGCAGCCGCGGUAAUACGAAGGGUGCAAGCGUUACUCGGAAUUACUGGGCGUAAAGCGUGCGUAGGUGGUUCGUUAAGUCUGAUGUGAAAGCCCUGGGCUCAACCUGGGAACUGCAUUGGAUACUGGCGAUCUGGAGUGCGGUAGAGGGUGGCGGAAUUCCCGGUGUAGCAGUGAAAUGCGUAGAUAUCGGGAGGAACAUCCGUGGCGAAGGCGGCCACCUGGACCAGCACUGACACUGAGGCACGAAAGCGUGGGGAGCAAACAGGAUUAGAUACCCUGGUAGUCC